GAUGAACGCUAGCUACAGGCUUAACACAUGCAAGUCGCGGGGCAGCAUGGGGGUUGCUUGCAAUCCCCGAUGGCGACCGGCGCACGGGUGAGUAACGCGUAUCCAACCUGCCCUUCACCACGGGAUAACCCGGCGAAAGUCGGACUAAUACCGUAUGUUGUCCAUUGACGGCAUCCGAUUUGGACGAAAGGUUUGGCGGUGAAGGAUGGGGAUGCGUCCGAUUAGCUGGACGGCGGGGUGACGGCCCACCGUGGCGACGAUCGGUAGGGGUUCUGAGAGGAAGGUCCCCCACACUGGAACUGAGACACGGUCCAGACUCCUACGGGAGGCAGCAGUGAGGAAUAUUGGUCAAUGGGCGUAAGCCUGAACCAGCCAAGUAGCGUGCAGGAUGACGGCCCUAUGGGUUGUAAACUGCUUUUAUGCGGGGAUAAAGUGGCCCACGUGUGGGUUUUUGCGGGUACCGCAUGAAUAAGGACCGGCUAAUUCCGUG
Molecule: ribosomal RNA, 490 nt
Filed under: uncultured bacterium
Lineage: Bacteria
Description: partial 16S ribosomal RNA
Rfam family: Bacterial small subunit ribosomal RNA
Source: RNAcentral